Molecule: long non-coding RNA, 258 nt
Organism: Pygoscelis adeliae (Adelie penguin)
Lineage: Eukaryota; Metazoa; Chordata; Aves; Sphenisciformes; Spheniscidae
Exons: 3
Source: RefSeq, a predicted model, not a curated record
AAGAACCUGAGAAACACACAGGCAGUGCUAAAGGAUACCCAGAUACACUUGGAUGAUGCUCUCAGGGCACAGGAGGACCUGAAGGAGCAGGUGGCCAUGGUGGAGCGCAGAGCAAACCUGUUGCAGGCUGAAGUUGAGGAGCUACGGGCAGCCCUGGAGCAGACGGAGCGGUCGAGGAAAGUGGCUGAGCAGGAACUGAUGGAUGCAAGUGAGAGAGUUCAGCUCCUCCACUCUCAGAACACCAGCUUGAUCAACACC